This 253-nucleotide ribosomal RNA is filed under the name uncultured bacterium. RNAcentral describes it as "partial 16S ribosomal RNA". It matches the Rfam family "Bacterial small subunit ribosomal RNA", at positions 524 to 776 of the family's 1533-position model. The record is from RNAcentral.
GACAGAGGGUGCAAACGUUGUUCGGAAUUACUGGGCGUAAAGCGCGUGUAGGCGGCCCUGCAAGUCGGGUGUGAAAUCCCACGGCUCAACCGUGGAAGUGCACUCGAAACUGCAGGGCUAGAGUCCUGGAGAGGAAGGUGGAAUGCUUGGUGUAGAGGUGAAAUUCGUAGAUAUCAAGCGAAACACCGGUGGCGAAGGCGGCCUUCUGGACAGUGACUGACGCUGAGAUGCGAAAGCGUGGGGAGCAAACAGG